This 5643-nucleotide small RNA is filed under the name Rattus norvegicus (Norway rat). Its description in RNAcentral is "uncharacterized LOC103690608". The record is from RNAcentral. Lineage: Eukaryota; Metazoa; Chordata; Mammalia; Rodentia; Muridae.
AAAAUCAAAACCAAAAAGAACCCCAACAACCCACAAAGAGCAAGGAGUUUGUCUAGUGUUGGAGCACUAUUCCUGGGCAUGGGGCCUGCCCUGCACUGUGAUUUGGUAGACCUAGUGACACUCUAUUGGAGAAAACUGAUUUUUCCCCUUCCCGGAAGCUAUCAAUCCCAAGUAGCUUCUUAGGAGUGGGGCUUUGCAUCCACCUCCUCUUCUCAGUGCUAGGAUUUUUUGUGUGGUUUAAAACUCUGCAGCUUUUGUACGGUCAGCCUGCUUUACUCCAUAACUCAGGACCAUUUACCCCGGCGUAGUACCUCCCACAGUGUGCUCUGCAGUCUCACAACCAUCUUAUUCAAGAAAAUGCCUCAUGGAUAUGCCCACGAGCCAGUCCGAUGGAAGUCAUUCUCCAGCGAGAAUCCCUCUUUUCAGGUGACUCACGUUGGCGUCCAGUUGGUGAAAGCUGACUAGCCCAGCCUGCAGAGGCAGUCGGCAUGCCUGCCCGGUGUUCCUUUGCACGGAAGUCCCAGAGAGCGAGUGCUGUGGAAGAGUCAAGCAUUGGCAUGUAAGGAGGAAGCUGUGAGCUGGGAUGAAUCCAGAAACGUUUUCUCAGGGGUAGUAUUUUGUGAUAGUGUCACCGGAGUCGAGCAAGUAUCAGUUGGAGGCAUACAAAACUGAGGAUCUAGAGUCAAAGAACCCAGAUCCUUGAAGAUCUCUAGUAACUUCUAGCGAAUGGGAAAAUCUACAAAGCUGAUUCUUUAGCUUUGAAUGUAAACAAACAUCUGAGCUCGAGUUUCUCAGUGUUGUCUUUCCUAGGGUCAUCUGCCAUGUGUCCUGCACUCCCAGAAUCCUGUUCUCAGUCAGUGGUCUCCUUCAGCUGUUAUGGUGACCAUAACUGAUGCUCUCAGGUACUCAUGCGCUAGCUCAAGUGAAGAAUUCCCACUUGACCAUGUCCUUGAAGUCCUCAUUAGUGAUGGAACUUAUAGGCCCUGGGAUAAAGUUUAAUAACUGACAAAACAUUUCCUUACUCUUCAUCUCAUUUGACUGUCAUGUGGAUAUGACCUGUCACCUGCGAGGAAUCGCUGUGUCAGUGUGAGGGUGAAGAAAAGAGACCAGUGUGACCUGUGUGGUCCUGCCUUUGCCUGCCAGUGGGCUUUUCUUUUUCCUACUGAAGAAUGGAAUCUUUAAAAACUUGAAUUUGUACUCCAGCAGCUGAUUAAUCAUUUGUAGGAAUUUUGUUUACAGGGACCACAUUGGCUGGAGCCUUUCAGACUUUCCCCCUAAGAUCCAGGUGUGGAAAGUGAUACGUUCGCAGAGAACCGGUGAAAUUCAGCUGGCCCAGGCCAUUCAGUGUGAAUGGCAUUUGUUUGCAACUCCCCAUGCAGUAUCCACAGUGUGCCACAUGCCACCCUAUCCUGAGAGGUCAGCAAAGAGGUUAAUGUUAUUAGUGAUAUUAUUUUCAGGUCUGAGAGGUUCAGAGAUAUUAAGGAAUUAUACCAUGGGACUGCAUAGAAUGGUCCAAAUGGGGUUUAAACCCGGGGCUGGAACCCUAACUUCUACUUGUAGAGCUCAUGAGGUUUCUUGAAUUUGUUGGUCUGGGUUUUGUUGAGCUCUACUGAGGCCCAUUUCCAGAUUGGCUCCAAGGGAGUUGCAGUGGAGCUGGGAAACUUACUCUGGUAGUACAGAGCAGAGCUGGGAACUUUAUUCUGGUAGGACAGAACUAGUCUGUCCCCGGACUUCGGGCGCUGUCCUCUCUCCAGUCUCCUUGGCUAUCAUAGGUAGUGCUAUUAUUUUGGGUGGUCACUACCAGACUUUCUAAUCUGUUUUCAAACCUUUCUCCCAGCUUCUCCAGGACACUGGAUUUUGUGGGUAUCGGAAGGGUCCUUUGGCUCUGGGCUGGAGUCAGAUGAGCUAUGAAGAAAGGAAGCCAGAAGAGAGCAUCAGUUCCCAUGGAAGUGAAGUUACAGGUGACUGUGAGCUACCUCACGUGAGUAGAGUAUACUCUUAACCGCUCGGUCAUGUCCCAGCCUGAACCCGUGUCUGUAAUACAAUCUAUAGACGUUGUUUCUCUUGCUUUUGCUUUUUAAAGCAAUAUAGAAAAAGGAGCAAAGGUUAGAGUUGGGGCUUUCUGACAUGGUGGCAAAAUAACCAGAAAUAAAUAAUUUAAGUUUGGAUCCAUUGUCAUUCACCGCCCUCCCCCCCACACACACAUACUGUGGUAAGGCAGAGCAUCAUGGGGGGGAACAUGUGUUAGAGAAAAUUGUUCAUCUCGUAGUAGAUGGAAAGGAGAGGUUUGGACAAUGUGGGAGGGAGGGAAGAGGAGAGCAAGGAAGGGGUGGGCACCAAGGGUGGUCUAGAGACAAGACAGAUCUACCGAAGGUAUACUCUGAAUGACCCUUCAACUAGAUCCUACUUCCAUCACCUCCUGAUAGCCCAUCAAACUGUGAACCCCUCAAUCAAUGAGUUAAUUCAUCAAUGAUGUCAUAGCUGGCAUGAUUCAUUGAUACACCCAAAGCGAUCUCAAUGCAUCAGUGGCAAGAAUUUCAUCACAGGAGGGCAUUUCAAGAUCAAAACAAAAUAGGGCUCCAAGGGGUUAUAAAAAGUCCCAGACUAGGUCUGGUGGCUAAGUGACCCAAGUGGAACACUUACAAGCUAUGCCAUAUUAUCUCUCCCACUAAUAUGAAUGAGAAUAGAUUCUUCUUAUCUUUCUUGCAUGCCUCCUGAGAAAAUGAACCACAGGAAGUCUAAAGGAAAUGCUCCGUAAAUGCUGAAAUGUUCCAAAGCCUGAAAAUGUUCCAAAUAUGUUACAGUGUUGGCCAAGUGUAGCUGCUGUACCCUGCCUGUGUCGAGGACCGGAAACCUCACAUGAGGUUGCACUGAUCUCACAGAGGUGCCUUCCCCAGCCCCACCUCCAGAUGUUCCAUGGGGGUUUGAUGUGAGGAGGAGGAGUUAACCAUACCUACUGUCUCUGAAGAGGUCAAGAUGCUGUUGCUGCUGUCACCCUCAAUACAUGGAAGAAGUAGAACUCCAAGAAAUUCAAGAGUCUCAACUGGUGAUAUCCAACUGGCUGAUCAGCAGGUUAGGUUUGAACUCAUGGCGAUCCACCCCGAGGAUGCCCAGGAGCAAGUUUCCUCCAGUUCACAAGCUCUCAUUGGUAAGUUUCAGAGGUUCUGUCAGCUGGCUUGAAAGCAUUGUUUUAAAAUCACAAUAAUUAAUUCACACAACUAAAAAAGUAGUGAAGUGAUACUAAAUGUUGACAACUUGCUCUUUUCCUAUUUUGACAUAUAGGUAUGUAUAGUAAGUAUACACUGGAGUCACUCAUAUUAUUUGUUCUUAGUGUGCUGGAGAUGGUACACAGUGGUGCGAACCUGAUGUCUCAUCUACAUUUUAUGUUCAGGGAUGUUCCAUUGCCAGCUUGAGCUUGUCCAGGAUGGAAGUUUUCACCAUGGACAUUGGCAAACAGAGCAAAUGAGGGCCUCCUAACUGUGAACCAGUCACUAAACAUUUGAAGCCUAGUGCUGGCCUGAGAGGGAGAUUAUACCGAAGUAAGGGACAGGCUUUGAGCCCAGGGCACACAUAAGCCCUUUUGUUUCUUGGCUUAACUUCCACCCAGUCUGGCCCUGCAUUGGACCAUCAUAGACAAGCUGCCUCCUGAGAUUAGAAAACCACCCUUUACAAGACUUAUUCAGCCUUCAGGGUUGAGUUCAACAUAAAUCUGUAUAGUGAAGCUCUUCCUAUAGCCAUAUAUUCUAUAUUUCUAUCACAAAAGUAGUUGUAUAUUCAUUACACUUUGUACACAGAAAUACCUGUGACAUAGCUUUGGUAGGGUAAAUGUGGGUUUUGAAAUAUUAAUGCCAAUUUAUUUACCCAAACUUACAUUACCCUAAUAACCCAUUGUUGUAUUGGUUAACCUCAAAGUUCGAUAUCAUGCAGUUCCUAUCCUGUGUAUAUUUUAUAGGAUCUCAUGAAAUAAGAGUCACACUCAGGCGCGGACGUUGUGGAAAUUGUCAAUGGUGCUCUAAUUCAAAACUUCCGUUAGCACUGGGCCUCUGUCUCUUCAUCCGGCUAAAGCUAAAUGUGAUCUGGAUGCUGGUUGACAGUCCUUUGCCUCUACUGUAAUGAAACUACAGCCUGUUCUCUUCUGCAGAGCUUAGCUCCCAUACUCCACACUGUGGGGCACUAGAGUUAAUAACCUCUUAAAGUCUUUCAUAGCCGCACAAGCUUGAAGACUAGUAUGAAGACCGUGCUUUACACUAGAUGGGCCAUUUUCUAGAAGAUAGCUUCAGCUUCACCCCUCAGUGCCAGCUUAUGGGGUGAUCACCCAGAACUCUCUGUUGCGAAGAAAAGACUUGAAGAGAUCAAGCCCUUCAGGCUUUCUGGUCAGAAGCUCUUACUGCCUUAGGGGCAAACUGCAGCUGACCUCAAACCAAAGGGAUGGGCAUGGAUGAGGUGUUUCCUUUUACAAGAAAUGGUUGAAAUCUGUCCGGGAGUUUUGAUUUCAUCGUUGGCUGAGUAGUGAAAAGGAGUAGGAAGAAGGAAGGCAUAAGAUGUAAGGAGAAAUAAUUGAAGAUUCUGACAGGAAAUUAGACCAGACGUACCGGUGCAUGUCUGCCCCCGGUAUUCAUGAGACCAAGGUUAAAGGGUCACAUUGAAUUUGAGGAAAGCAUGCGCUACAGAGAGAAGUCUUGUCUCAAAAAUAAACGAAUAGGCAGGGAAUGAUCACCUGGGUGUUGAGCAGAGACCCAAGCUGAGCUUGCUCUUUUCUGUCUGCUCUCAGUGUGCUUUUCCAGAUUCCAAUGACCUCUACUCACUUAGGUCAAAACUGUUAACUGAAGGGAGAAAACUUUGAACUGUGGUUUGCUUGAGAACCCACAACGCCGCACUAGAGAAAGAAGGACUCCAUAAACUCAUGAGUCCAGGACAGCCUGGAAGCAGAAAGAGAAUCCCUUUAAGUUUCAGACGGAGGAAUGGAGUCCACAGAGACGUGUGUCAGGUCCAGUGUCAUACAGAGUGAGAAUCAAGGUUGGGACACUCAGGUGAACCUCCAGCCUCCACCUGCUUGUCAGCUGUCAUGUGACCGAACAUCCUUCUGUUUGUCCUCCUUCAGCCACUGGCAACAUUAAGAAAAAGAAAUCAUUACUUACAGAUCCUUGACCAUGGAUGCAAGGACAGUGCAUCAUUUUCUGCCAGCUUGGGAAUGGACUAAGGGAUGGGGAAGAGGGGGGCAAGCAAGCUCCAAUCUCAGCUGUCACUUUGCGAAUUUCAUCUGCCCUGUGCCAGGCACUGGAUUUAUUGCUGGUGAGAAAGAUGACUCAUGUUCUCCUGGUGCCAAGCAACUAAUUUAUCUCGCCAUGGCUUGGUAGGCACAAACGUUUAGUGUGUGAUCAAAAAUAGAGACCACCUGUCACCCAGUACCUUGGAACUGGUCGUCAACUGAGAACUUACUCAAACAUUUAGCCCAAAUACAACCAGAUAGACUUUGUUUUAGUGUUCAUCUUUUGGAAGACAGUUACAGAAAUGAGAAGGCAUGUAAUGGAGAGUGGCAUCUCAAUUGGAAGUCACCUGUCCUGGGUUUAUUCCCAUUUGAUUUAUUAUAUUGACUUGCCUCUUUCUUUCUUUCUUUCUUUCUUUCUUUCUUUCUUUCUUUCU